RNAcentral lists this ribosomal RNA (268 nucleotides) under Candidatus Omnitrophota bacterium. RNAcentral's name for it is "Candidatus Omnitrophica bacterium partial 23S ribosomal RNA". It matches the Rfam family "Bacterial large subunit ribosomal RNA", at positions 2647 to 2925 of the family's 2925-position model. The record is from RNAcentral. Lineage: Bacteria; Pseudomonadati; Candidatus Omnitrophota.
GUGGGCGCAGGAUAUUUGAGAGGAACUGUCCUUAGUACGAGAGGACCAGGACAGACGAACCUAGGGUGUUCCAGUUGUCACGCCAGUGGCAUUAGCUGGGUAGCUAUGUUCGGAAAGGAUAAGCGCUGAAAGCAUAUAAGCGCCAAGCCUCCCUCAAGAAAGGAUAUCCCUGAAAGCACCUUGAAGACUACAAGGUUGAUAGGUUUCAAGUGUAAGGUCUGUAAAGAUUUUAGCUUAGAAAUACUAAUCUGCUGUUCGGCUUGACCUU